UACGAAGGGGGCUAGCGUUGUUCGGAAUUACUGGGCGUAAAGCGCGCGUAGGCGGCUUGGAAAGUUGGGAGUGAAAGCCCGGGGCUCAACCCCGGAACUGCUCUCAAAACUUCCAAGCUAGAGAUCUGGAGAGGAGGGUGGAAUUCCAAGUGUAGAGGUGAAAUUCGUAGAUAUUUGGAAGAACACCAGUGGCGAAGGCGACUCUCUGGCCAGAUACUGACGCUGAGGUGCGAAAGCGUGGGGAGCAAACAGG
This 253-nucleotide ribosomal RNA is filed under the name uncultured bacterium. RNAcentral's name for it is "partial 16S ribosomal RNA". It matches the Rfam family "Bacterial small subunit ribosomal RNA", at positions 524 to 776 of the family's 1533-position model. The record is from RNAcentral.